Molecule: ribosomal RNA, 468 nt
Filed under: uncultured bacterium
Lineage: Bacteria
Description: partial 16S ribosomal RNA
Rfam family: Bacterial small subunit ribosomal RNA
Source: RNAcentral
GACGAACGCUGGCGGCGUGCUUAACACAUGCAAGUCGAACGGAAAGGCCCUGCUUUUGUGGGGUGUUCGAGUGGCGAACGGGUGAGUAACACGUGAGUAACCUGCCCUUGACUUUGGGAUAACUUCAGGAAACUGGGGCUAAUACCGGAUAGGAGCUCCUGCUGCAUGGUGGGGGUUGGAAAGUUUCGGCGGUUGGGGAUGGACUCGCGGCUUAUCAGCUUGUUGGUGGGGUAGUGGCUUACCAAGGCUUUGACGGGUAGCCGGCCUGAGAGGGUGACCGGCCACAUUGGGACUGAGAUACGGCCCAGACUCAUACGGGAGGCAGCAGUGGGGAAUAUUGCACAAUGGGCGGAAGCCUGAUGCAGCAACGCCGCGUGCGGGAUGACGGCCUUCGGGUUGUAAACCGCUUUCGCCUGUGACGAAGCGUGAGUGACGGUAAUGGGUAAAGAAGCACCGGCUAACUACGUG